GCAGCCGCGGUAAUACGGAGGAUCCAAGCGUUAUCCGGAUUUAUUGGGUUUAAAGGGUGCGUAGGCGGUUUGAUAAGUUAGAGGUUAAAUGUCAGGGCUCAACUCUGGCCUGCCUCUAAUACUGUUGGACUAGAGAGUAGAUGCGGUAGGCGGAAUGUAUGGUGUAGCGGUGAAAUGCGUAGAGAUCAUACAGAACACCGAUUGCGAAGGCAGCUUACCAAACUAUAUCUGACGUUGAGGCACGAAAGCGUGGGUAGCAAACAGGAUUAGAUACCCC
RNAcentral lists this ribosomal RNA (277 nucleotides) under uncultured Alistipes sp. RNAcentral's name for it is "partial 16S ribosomal RNA". It matches the Rfam family "Bacterial small subunit ribosomal RNA", at positions 511 to 788 of the family's 1533-position model. The record is from RNAcentral. Lineage: Bacteria; Pseudomonadati; Bacteroidota; Bacteroidia; Bacteroidales; Rikenellaceae.